AGCUCCGGUGGCUUAUACUGGUUAGAGCAUCCACCUAGGAUGCGGGAGGUUAUGGGUUCGAUUCCCGGUCGAGUAA
Molecule: non-coding RNA, 76 nt
Organism: Potamilus streckersoni
Lineage: Eukaryota; Metazoa; Mollusca; Bivalvia; Unionida; Unionidae
Source: the annotation of a GenBank genome assembly